This 253-nucleotide ribosomal RNA is filed under the name uncultured bacterium. Its description in RNAcentral is "partial 16S ribosomal RNA". It matches the Rfam family "Bacterial small subunit ribosomal RNA", at positions 524 to 776 of the family's 1533-position model. The record is from RNAcentral.
UACGUAGGGGGCAAGCGUUGUCCGGAUUUAUUGGGCGUAAAGAGCGUGUAGGCGGUUUGGUAGGUCCGCUGUGAAAACUCGAGGCUCAACCUCGAGACGCCGGUGGAAACCAUCAGACUAGAGUCCGAAAGAGGAGAGUGGAAUUCCUGGUGUAGCGGUGAAAUGCGCAGAUAUCAGGAAGAACACCCGUGGCUAAGGCGGCUCUCUAGUACGGUACUGACGCUGAGACGCGAAAGCGUGGGGAGCGAACAGG